AAACCAUGGGGCGGACACUUUAUAAUUAGCUCUUUAAAUCUCUCCCAGCUAUCACAGAAUUUCUCGUCCUCCUCUUGACUGAAACUGCUGAUUUCUUGACGAAGUUC
Molecule: small nucleolar RNA, 107 nt
Organism: Alnus glutinosa
Lineage: Eukaryota; Viridiplantae; Streptophyta; Magnoliopsida; Fagales; Betulaceae
Source: RefSeq, a predicted model, not a curated record